RNAcentral lists this ribosomal RNA (254 nucleotides) under uncultured bacterium. RNAcentral describes it as "partial 16S ribosomal RNA". It matches the Rfam family "Bacterial small subunit ribosomal RNA", at positions 524 to 776 of the family's 1533-position model. The record is from RNAcentral.
UACGGAAGGGGCAAGCGUUGUUCGGAAUCAUUGGGCGUAAAGGGCGCGUAGGCGGCCACCGCAAGUCAAUUGUGAAAUCUCCGGGCUUAACCCGGAAAGGUCAACUGAUACUGCGGGGCUAGAGUGCGGAAGGGGCAACUGGAAUUCUCGGUGUAGCGGUGAAAUGCGUAGAUAUCGAGAGGAACACCUGCGGCGAAGGCGGGUUGCUGGGCCGACACUGACGCUGAUGCGCGAAAGCCAGGGGAGCGAACGGG